UGAGGAAUAUUGGGCAAUGCCCGAAAGGGUGACCCAGCAACGCCGCGUGGAGGGUGAAGGUCGUAAGAUUGUAAACUCCUGUUAGAGGGGAAGAAUAACUAAGUUUGGAGCUUAGUAUGACUGUACCCUCAGAGAAAGCCCCGGCUAACUACGUGCCAGCAGCCGCGGUAAUACGUAGGGGGCAAGCGUUGUCCGGAUUUACUGGGUGUAAAGGGCGCGCAGGCGGAAUGGAAAGUCAGUGGUGAAAUCCUACAGCUUAACUGUAGAACUGCCUUUGAUACUUUCAUUCUUGAGUUCGGGAGAGAGAGACGGAAUUCCAGGUGUAGUGGUGAAAUACGUAGAUAUCUGGAAGAACACCAGUUGCGAAGGCGGUCUCUUGGUCCGAUACUGACGCUGAGGCGCGAAAGCGUGGGGAGCAAACA
This 422-nucleotide ribosomal RNA is filed under the name uncultured bacterium. RNAcentral describes it as "bacterial SSU rRNA". It matches the Rfam family "Bacterial small subunit ribosomal RNA", at positions 355 to 774 of the family's 1533-position model. The record is from RNAcentral.